RNAcentral lists this ribosomal RNA (536 nucleotides) under uncultured Pseudomonadota bacterium. RNAcentral's name for it is "bacterial SSU rRNA". It matches the Rfam family "Bacterial small subunit ribosomal RNA", at positions 8 to 522 of the family's 1533-position model. The record is from RNAcentral. Lineage: Bacteria; Pseudomonadati; Pseudomonadota.
AGAGUUUGAUCAUGGCUCAGAACGAACGCUGGCGGCGUGCUUAACACAUGCAAGUCGAACGUGAUUCAGAGCUUGCUCUGAUGAAAGUGGCGCACGGGUGAGUAACGCGUGGAUAAUCUGCCCUGGUAUCUGGGAUAACAUCUCGAAAGGGGUGCUAAUACCGGAUAAGCUUACGGUUCCUUCGGUGACUGUGAGAAAAGAUGGCCUCUAUUUAUAAGCUAUCGUAUCAGGAUGAGUCCGCGUACCAUUAGCUAGUUGGUGGGGUAAUGGCCCACCAAGGCUACGAUGGUUAGCUGGUCUGAGAGGAUGAUCAGCCACACUGGAACUGAGACACGGUCCAGACUCCUACGGGAGGCAGCAGUGGGGAAUUUUGCGCAAUGGGGGAAACCCUGACGCAGCAACGCCGCGUGAGUGAUGAAGGCUUUCGGGUCGUAAAGCUCUGUCAGAGGGGAAGAAAUGGAAACGGUUAAUACCCGUUUUCCUUGACGGUACCCUCAAAGGAAGCACCGGCUAACUCCGUGCCAGCAGCCGCGGUA